GCCUUCGUAGUGUAAUGGUCAGCAUGCUCGACGCGUAACCGAGAGGUCCGUGGUUCGAUUCCCGGUGAAGGCG
Molecule: transfer RNA, 73 nt
Filed under: Stegodyphus mimosarum
Lineage: Eukaryota; Metazoa; Arthropoda; Arachnida; Araneae; Eresidae
Rfam family: tRNA
About the family: Transfer RNA (tRNA) molecules are approximately 80 nucleotides in length. Their secondary structure includes four short double-helical elements and three loops (D, anti-codon, and T loops).
Source: Rfam by way of RNAcentral